GCCGGUGUAGCUUUAAUGGCAGAGCAGCCCCUUCGUAAGGGGAAGGUUGGGGGUUCAACUCCUCUCACCGGCU
Molecule: transfer RNA, 73 nt
Filed under: Patescibacteria group bacterium
Lineage: Bacteria
Also listed under: 1 other name
Description: tRNA-Thr
Rfam family: tRNA
About the family: Transfer RNA (tRNA) molecules are approximately 80 nucleotides in length.
Source: RNAcentral